RNAcentral lists this ribosomal RNA (500 nucleotides) under uncultured eukaryote. RNAcentral's name for it is "SSU rRNA". It matches the Rfam family "Eukaryotic small subunit ribosomal RNA", at positions 1207 to 1727 of the family's 1831-position model. The record is from RNAcentral.
GGGGAAACUCACCAGGUCCAGACAUAACUAGGAUUGACAGAUUGAUAGCUCUUUCUUGAUUUUAUGGGUGGUGGUGCAUGGCCGUUCUUAGUUGGUGGAGUGAUUUGUCUGGUUAAUUCCGAUAACGAACGAGACCUUAACCUGCUAAAUAGCCAGGCUCGCCUCGGCGGGUCGCGGGCUUCUUAGAGGGACUAUUCGGAUGAGAAGCCGAUGGAAGUUUGAGGCAAUAACAGGUCUGUGAUGCCCUUAGAUGUUCUGGGCCGCACGCGCGCUACACUGACGGAGCCAGCGAGUAUAAACCUUAACCGAGAGGUUUGGGUAAUCUUGUUAAACUCUGCCGUGCUGGGGAUAGGGCAUUGCAAUUAUUGCCCUUCAACGAGGAAUAUCUAGUAAGCGCAAGUCAUCAGCUUGCGUUGAUUACGUCCCUGCCCUUUGUACACACCGCCCGUCGCUACUACCGAUUGAAUGGCUCAGUGAGGCCUUCGGACUGGCUCCAGGAG